Molecule: ribosomal RNA, 506 nt
Filed under: uncultured Bacillota bacterium
Lineage: Bacteria; Bacillati; Bacillota
Description: bacterial SSU rRNA
Rfam family: Bacterial small subunit ribosomal RNA
Source: RNAcentral
UAGGGAAUCUUCCGCAAUGGACGAAAGUCUGACGGAGCAACGCCGCGUGAGUGAUGAAGGUUUUCGGAUCGUAAAACUCUGUUGUUAGGGAAGAACAAGUACGAGAGUAACUGCUCGUACCUUGACGGUACCUAACCAGAAAGCCACGGCUAACUACGUGCCAGCAGCCGCGGUAAUACGUAGGUGGCAAGCGUUGUCCGGAAUUAUUGGGCGUAAGGCGCGCAGGCGGUUCCUUAAGUCUGAUGUGAAAGCCCACGGCUCAACCGUGGAGGGUCAUUGGAAACUGGGGGAACUUGAGUGCAGAAGAGAAGAGUGGAAUUCCACGUGUAGCGGUGAAAUGCGUAGAGAUGUGGAGGAACACCAGUGGCGAAGGCGACUCUUUGGUCUGUAACUGACGCUGAGGCGCGAAAGCGUGGGGAGCAAACAGGAUUAGAUACCCUGGUAGUCCACGCCGUAAACGAUGAGUGCUAAGUGUUAGAGGGUUUCCGCCCUUUAGUGCUGCAGAC